RNAcentral lists this ribosomal RNA (551 nucleotides) under uncultured archaeon. Its description in RNAcentral is "bacterial SSU rRNA". It matches the Rfam family "Archaeal small subunit ribosomal RNA", at positions 326 to 877 of the family's 1478-position model. The record is from RNAcentral.
CGGGGUGCAGCAGGCGCGAAAACUUUACAAUGCGGGAAACCGUGAUAAGGGGACACCGAGUGCCAGCAUCAUAUGCUGGCUGUCCGGGUGUGUAAAAUACACCCGUUAGCAAGGGCCGGGCAAGACCGGUGCCAGCCGCCGCGGUAACACCGGCGGCCCGAGUGGUGAUCGUGAUUAUUGGGUCUAAAGGGUCCGUAGCCGGUUUGGUCAGUCCUCCGGGAAAUCUGACGGCUUAACCGUUAGGCUUUCGGGGGAUACUGCCAGGCUUGGAACCGGGAGAGGUAAGAGGUACUACAGGGGUAGGAGUGAAAUCUUGUAAUCCCUGUGAGACCACCUGUGGCGAAGGCGUCUUACCAGAACGGGUUCGACGGUGAGGGACGAAAGCUGGGGGCACGAACCGGAUUAGAUACCCGGGUAGUCCCAGCCGUAAACGAUGCUCGCUAGGUGUCAGGCAUGGCGCGACCGUGUCUGGUGCCGCAGGGAAGCCGUGAAGCGAGCCACCUGGGAAGUACGGCCGCAAGGCUGAAACUUAAAGGAAUUGGCGGGGGAGC